Molecule: long non-coding RNA, 161 nt
Organism: Dreissena polymorpha
Lineage: Eukaryota; Metazoa; Mollusca; Bivalvia; Myida; Dreissenidae
Exons: 3
Source: RefSeq, a predicted model, not a curated record
UCACACAUAAGGUCAGUAUGGCUAUACACACAAAGUCACACAUAAGGUCAGUAUAGCUAUACACACAGUCACACAUAAGGUCAGUAUGGCUAUACACACAAGGUCACACAUGAGGUCUGUAUUCAUGGCGACACACACAAGGUCAGUAUGGCGACACACAC